AACGCAAUAAAACUGUAUAAUGAAUCACAAUCGCAAGCAAGUCUAAUCAAAAUAUAUUAAAUCAUAUAAUAUAUAAUGUCAUUUCCGACCUGACUUCCUCAGACGAGUAGUCAGUGUCAGUAGAUUCACAAUUGUCUCUCUUGAAAUGCUACAAAGAUUGAUUGUCAUCAAUGCUUCAUUAUUAAGAUGAUUGAUUGUUGCUGAUGCCAGAUUACAAUGACUGUUUUUCACCAUCUCCAGAUUAUGAAGAGUUCCUCCAGUCAAGAAAACUGAAUUAUCAUGUUAAAAAUUAAAUACAAAGACAGUAUCAGAUGUGAAAAAUUAAAAGACACAAUAGAAGUCAGACAGGUUUAUCUUUUGUGUAUCACAUGGUAAUGUGGGACUGUCAAAGAGUUAUUGGGUGGAUAGUGAAUCCACCUUUCCUUCACUAUCUGCAGUAAAGAGAGAGCUUCAUCAAAAGCAUGUACAGCUGACAAGCUGAUGUGAAAUCUCUAGUUUCAGAAAGUCUUUCAAGUAACGGAAGGUCAGAAAGCUUCAUGCCUACAUCUUCAGCCAGGCGGGACAAAACUGUUUUAUCUUUGACAGUA
Long non-coding RNA from Biomphalaria glabrata, 587 nucleotides. RefSeq lists it as uncharacterized. The record is from RefSeq and is a predicted model, not a curated record. Lineage: Eukaryota; Metazoa; Mollusca; Gastropoda; Planorbidae. The transcript has 4 exons.